RNAcentral lists this long non-coding RNA (629 nucleotides) under Struthio camelus australis. RNAcentral describes it as "lncRNA (ENSSCUG00000012143.1)". The record is from RNAcentral. Lineage: Eukaryota; Metazoa; Chordata; Aves; Struthioniformes; Struthionidae.
UUUGAUAAAUAGGAUUGAAAUUGGAAGAAGUGACCAUCGGCAAGUAGUCUGUGCCGAUGCACCGCAGCUCUGUGCUCUGGCAGGGCGCUGACCUCCCUGCUCUCUCUCACUGGGAAACGCCCCGAUAACCAAUGGAGAAGUGAAUGGCGCAGAAAGCUAUGAGGCUUUUUUCUUUUCUUUUUCUGAUCUAGGAAAGGAGAAGAAGGAAAAAGAUAGGACAAACUCCCAGGUGAAUUCCAAAUCAAUGCUAGCCAGGUGGGGAGGAGAGUGGAAAUGGAGGAGGAAUGUUGUUGUCUUUUUGGAAGACUGUCUAAAGUUCCUGCUGCAGGAAACCAGCUCUCUCUCCCCUCCCCCUCCCUCCACGUCAAAGAAAGUGUGGCAAAUUAUUCUCAGCUCCAUGUUCGUUGGUAGAGGCAUCCAGGUUUAUCCCCAGCUGGAGAAAAGAUACCUAACAAACAUAGCUGCUCUUGCAGGACCACUGCGUGCAGAAGAUAAAUGUCAUCAAGCUCCCAUCUAUUUAUAUGUGCCAUGAAGUUGGAAGCAAGAAAAUGAGAGCUUCAAAAAGGUAAAAUGUGUGUGUGUGUAUCUAUCUAUCUAUAUAAAAAUAAAAGAAAACAAAAUCUUAUCCA